CUGGCAGAACAUCUGGCCUUGAUCUGGAGCCCCAUGUCUGUCUCUCUGUAGAGGUGCACAUGGGCCAAUUUUUCAGAAUGAAUGCAGUGAGCUGAUCUUUUCUCUGUGAUCAAGGCUAUGUUGCCUCUGUGUUAGGCCAAUACGGGAUGCACUGGCGCUGAUUUAAGAAUUCUCUCAUAGUCACAAGACGUAUGGUUGCCUCUGUGUAGGUUCCUGA
This is a long non-coding RNA of Rhinopithecus roxellana (golden snub-nosed monkey), 217 nucleotides long. RefSeq lists it as uncharacterized. The transcript is spliced from 3 exons. NCBI's taxonomy places the organism in Eukaryota, Metazoa, Chordata, Mammalia, Primates, Cercopithecidae. The record is from RefSeq and is a predicted model, not a curated record.